UACGGGGGGAGCAAGCGUUGUUCGGAUUUACUGGGCGUAAAGGGCGCGUAGGCGGUAGCACAAGUCAGUUGUGAAAUCUCCGGGCUUAACUCGGAAAGGUCAACUGAUACUGUGCGACUAGAGUGCAGAAGGGGCAACUGGAAUUCCCGGUGUAGCGGUGAAAUGCGCAGAUAUCGGGAGGAACACCAGUAGCGAAGGCGGCUCGCUGGGCCACACCUGACGCUGAGGCGCGAAAGCUAGGGGAGCAAACGGG
This 253-nucleotide ribosomal RNA is filed under the name uncultured bacterium. Its description in RNAcentral is "partial 16S ribosomal RNA". It matches the Rfam family "Bacterial small subunit ribosomal RNA", at positions 524 to 776 of the family's 1533-position model. The record is from RNAcentral.